This is a non-coding RNA of Pristionchus pacificus, 61 nucleotides long. NCBI's taxonomy places the organism in Eukaryota, Metazoa, Nematoda, Chromadorea, Rhabditida, Neodiplogasteridae. The record is from Rfam.
UCUUCAUUCUGCACACUCUCUCAACGGUCAAACAAGCGAGAGAGUGUGCAAAAUGAAGAGA